This 253-nucleotide ribosomal RNA is filed under the name uncultured bacterium. Its description in RNAcentral is "partial 16S ribosomal RNA". It matches the Rfam family "Bacterial small subunit ribosomal RNA", at positions 524 to 776 of the family's 1533-position model. The record is from RNAcentral.
UACAGAGGUCUCAAGCGUUGUUCGGAUUCAUUGGGCGUAAAGGGUGUGUAGGUGGCGAGGUAAGUUUGAUGUGAAAUCUCCGGGCUUAACCCGGAAAUGGCAUUGAAUACUCUCUCGCUAGAGGGUUGGAGGGGGGACUGGAAUUCUCGGUGUAGCAGUGAAAUGCGUAGAUAUCGAGAGGAACACCAGUGGCGAAGGCGAGUCCCUGGACAACUCCUGACACUGAGGCACGAAAGCUAGGGGAGCAAACAGG